Falco peregrinus (peregrine falcon) is the source of this 1467-nucleotide long non-coding RNA. RefSeq lists it as uncharacterized. The record is from RefSeq and is a predicted model, not a curated record. Lineage: Eukaryota; Metazoa; Chordata; Aves; Falconiformes; Falconidae. The transcript is spliced from 3 exons.
ACUGGUAGUUCUCCAAAAUAACCAGUUGGUAAACAGCUUGUUAAAUAUUUACUCAUUUGGAAAAGAUCCCAUUCAUAAGAAAAAAAAAUAUACAGGAUUUAGCUUGGUGCUAUAGUCUGCUGAACUGAUUUCUACCAUUACUUCAAAAUGGUCUCAUGAAGUUUCGUGAGAAAACACCAGAAUAUGGAUCGCUGAAUGACUGAGGUUGGAAGGCACCUCUGGAAGUCACCUAGUCCACCCUCCUGCUCAAACAGGACCACGUACAGCUAGUUGCCUAGCACAGUGUCCAGACUGCACUGGAGUAUCUCCAAGGAUGAAGAUUCCACCACUUCUCUGGGCAACCUGUGUCAGCGCUCACCGUGAGGGUGACAGAGUGGAAGUGUUGCCUCUUGUUCAGAGGGAACCUCCUGUGUUGCAGUUUGUGCCUGCUGCCUCUGGUCCUGCCACUGGGCACCACUGAAAAGAGCCUGGAUCUGUCCUCUUUGCACCCUCCCUUCAGAUUUUUCCCAAGAAAAAGAGAGGGAGGCUAGAAAUCCAGAUCCAGUUGCUCUUCAACAAGAACUACCAAGCAGCAUCAACUCUAUCUGUAAAAAACAUUUGCAGUCUGCACUCAGGGAGACAGAUUUCAUAACUUCAUAUUGGAGGCAACAUGACUUGCAAAAAUAUUCACUAAUGUUCUCACUGCUUUGUACUUCAUGUCUGCUGCAGUCCGUCAACCCUCUACACCACAUACAUGUAAACUGUUAAAACAAGAGCAUCAUCAACAAAAUAUCUGUUGACUGACACCAUAUUUCACAAAUCUGAUGACUUUCUGCAUUGGCAGUAGCAACAUUUCAGCUUCAUUUCUUCGUACAAUAUGUAGAAGAAUGACGCAAUGCAAUAAUGCCUCUGGUGCUUUUUCACUCAGCUGUGCUCAAGGACUGAAAGCUUGCUUUCACACUCUGGUCCUUCCAUAUUGCUCCGUUACAAUGAAGAACUCCAAACUCUGGGCCAAAUCCUACACAAGCAGUAUCCUUGUGCAUUUAAACCUACUGAGAAUAAAUCAUACUGCCAUUUAUUUUGAUUCUUAAAAAUCAUGUAUUGGGAUUCUGUGUGGCAAGGUUUGGGUAGCGGGAGGCUGCAGACAUGGCUUCUGUGAGAAGAUGCCAGUUUCCCCCACAUCCAAGAGACACAGUGCCGGCCAGCUCUAGGACAGACCCACCACUGGCCAUGGCCAUCAGUCGUAGCACUUUUCUGAUAACAUUUAAGAAGGGGGAAAAAACCCCCACACAACUGCAUCGGAGAGAGAAGUAAGACUAUUUGAGAGCAACAGCCCUGCAGACAGACACCCAGGUCAGUGCAGAAGGAGGGCAGGAGGUGCUCCAGGCACUAGAACAGAGAUUCCCCUGCAGCCUGGGGUGAAGACCGUGGUGAGGGAGACUGUCACUCCUGAGCCCAUGGAGGUCCAUGGUGGAGCAGAUAUCCACC